CCUACGGGAGGCAGCAGUGAGGAAUAUUGGUCAAUGGACGAGAGUCUGAACCAGCGAAGCAGCGUGAAGGAUGACUGUCCUAUGGGUUGUAAACUUCUUUUAUAUGGGAAUAAAAUGUUCCAAGUGAGGGAUUUUGUAUGUACCAUAUGAAUAAGGAUCGGCUAACUCCGUGCCAGCAGCCGCGGUAAUACGGAGGGUCCGAGCGUUAUCCGGAUUUUAUGGGUUUAAAGGGAGCGUAGGUGGAUUGUUCAGUCCGAUGUGAAAGUUUGCGGCUCAACCGUAAGAUUGCAGUUGAAACUGGCAGUCUUGAGUAAAGUAGAGGUGGGCGGAAUUCGUGGUGUAGCGGUGAAAUGCUUAGAUAUCACGAAGAACUCCGAUUGCGAAGGCAGCUCACUGGACUGCAACUGACACUGAGGCUCGAAAGUGUGGGUAUCAAACAGGAUUAGAUACCCUUGUAGUC
RNAcentral lists this ribosomal RNA (460 nucleotides) under uncultured bacterium. RNAcentral's name for it is "partial 16S ribosomal RNA". It matches the Rfam family "Bacterial small subunit ribosomal RNA", at positions 338 to 795 of the family's 1533-position model. The record is from RNAcentral.